CCCAAAGAAAAAAUCACAUGAAACUACAUGAUCCUUGGCAGGUGUUCCAAUGAAAAAUUGAAAGAAUUUGUUAGUGAUAAGGGAACACAGAGAGACGCAGAGAGAUAUAGAGACAAAAAUUGAAGGCAGAGAUAGAAAUAGAAAGGAAGGAUCAAGUUUCAAUGCGAUUAUUACAAUGUGCCACGAGCAA
Molecule: non-coding RNA, 190 nt
Organism: Caenorhabditis elegans
Lineage: Eukaryota; Metazoa; Nematoda; Chromadorea; Rhabditida; Rhabditidae
Source: Ensembl